RNAcentral lists this ribosomal RNA (224 nucleotides) under Salmonella enterica subsp. enterica serovar Infantis. Its description in RNAcentral is "partial 23S ribosomal RNA". It matches the Rfam family "Bacterial large subunit ribosomal RNA", at positions 1125 to 1347 of the family's 2925-position model. Lineage: Bacteria; Pseudomonadati; Pseudomonadota; Gammaproteobacteria; Enterobacterales; Enterobacteriaceae. The record is from RNAcentral.
AAAGAAAGCGUAAUAGCUCACUGGUCGAGUCGGCCUGCGCGGAAGAUGUAACGGGGCUAAACCAUGCACCGAAGCUGCGGCAGCGACACUCAGGUGUUGUUGGGUAGGGGAGCGUUCUGUAAGCCUGUGAAGGUGUGUCGUGAGGCAUGCUGGAGGUAUCAGAAGUGCGAAUGCUGACAUAAGUAACGAUAAAGCGGGUGAAAAGCCCGCUCGCCGGAAGACCA